Molecule: long non-coding RNA, 3009 nt
Organism: Octopus bimaculoides (California two-spot octopus)
Lineage: Eukaryota; Metazoa; Mollusca; Cephalopoda; Octopoda; Octopodidae
Source: RefSeq, a predicted model, not a curated record
ACGAAAUGUUCAAUUAGCUAAAUUCAAUAGGAAACUGUUAUAUGGACUGUUAGAUAUGUAAUUCGUCUGACGUUCCGUGUGUCAUGUGGUUCGUCUGAGUUCAUUGUUUCAUUGUUGUUGUCUUGUGGGACUGUCGUAGUAAAAUGUCAUUGAUAUAUAUAUGGCGGACAUGACUUUUGUUUAUUCAUAACGAACAUUGGAUACACACUGCUGCCUGUCAUGAGGCGUGGGAAAGAUUUUCAUCAGUUCCAGCCAGGGCUCCAGGAGAGUAACACGUAUUCUCAUGUUUCUGUCUGAACUCAACACCAUGUGGAAAAUAUUUAAUGGACAAACAUUCUAGAACUUAAUAGCUGAUUAUGAGACUUCAGAGCAUUGAACAGCAGCCAUGAUACUAGUUGUCAUUAUGAUACCAGCAUGAAUCAUCAUGAUACAGAUUCUCUGAAAUUGGUUAAAUGGAUACAGAUGAUGUUCUAAUUGAACUAUUACAUGUCUGCACCUGAGGCUAGACACGUGCGGUUACAGAAUUCCUGGGGGUUGACAUUCUGAAGAGAAAAGAUUGAGAAAGUAUAUUGUAUGGGACGUGAGUUGGGGUGGGAGAUGGAGUAGGUGUGUUAAAUCAGUCAAGGUGGUGAUGUAUGCGGAAGCCAUUGCGGUAGUAGUGGUAAAAUAGGCAUAGUAAUGUGACAACAUGAGAGUUUGACAUUGAAUGAAGUGUGAACCCAUGCCAUUCAGCCAGACACCUGCAUUUUUGGCACAGUCUGGAUGUUUUGAAUGUAGCAGCAGCAUCACUAUCUUUGAUGUGGGACCUACCCUUAUUCUGUUGUAAUCUCACUUUAGCUUUGUAGAGUUUUAUCAACUGUUCUGAGCUGAAAUUAUUUUCAGGCUCUGAAGAAGUCUGGGCUUCAGGAUACAGUUUUUGUAUGUUGUGGAUGUAAGAUCACCGGGAAAGAUCAUCAGUGAUUGUGAAACCUAACAUUCCUAAAGACUCUAAGAUCUUACAAUUAAUGCUAUAAUUAAUAAUACCUAACUAAAUCUAUUAUUACAGCUUAUAGAUAUUACUAUAUUAAAUGUGAUAAUAAAAUUAAUAUGAUAAUUGAUGUUCUUGCUAAUUACAUUGUAUAUAACCAGUAUUAUAGUCAGUCAUAUAGAUGGAUCCCUGUCAGAAUUUCCAACAUUGAGUUUUCAGCUGAGCAAUCAACUGACCUAUCAAAUUCAUUAAAUUAAGUGACUGAGUAUUCUACAGACAUAUCUAUUCUGAAUGUAAUUUUCGAAUCAGUGUGGCAAGGAGAACAUUUGAAUUUGAUGGCUCUCUACACAGUUUCCAUCUGCCCAAUGUCACUCAUAAGUUAUGAGUCAACUCACGGGUAUAGGAAAUAACCCCAACCUAAACUGCCAUGUAGUAGGAUUGAACCAAGUCCUCAUAAUUACUAAGUGAAUUUCUAAAUCUCUGUAGUCAAUAAUAUACUACAAUUUUGACGCUCUAAAAUAUCAUAUAUAUCACGUUAGUAUAUAUCACAUUCAUUUAUAUGUUUAAUGAUAGAGUCAAGAUAGUUAAUUCUAUAGUCAACCCUUUAGCAUUUAAAAUGGUCAUAUCCAGCUAAAGCAUUUUACCUGUUUUAUACCCAAACUGACCAGAUCUGGCCUCUCGUAUCUUAGCCUACAAUAUCAUUCUAAAACUAAAUAAUCACAUCAUCAAAAUCUUGAAGCUACGAGAUAUUGCAGGAUUAAUUCAAAACAAUGUGAAUAAACACGCAUUGGAGUGGUUGGCGUUAGGAAGGGCAUCCAGCUGUAGAAACUCUGCCAAAUUUAGAUUGGAGCCUGGUGUUGCCAUCCGGUUGCACCAGUCCUCAGUCAAAUCGUCCAACCCAUGCUAGCAUGGAAAGCGGACGUUAAACGAUGAUGAUGAUGAUGAUGCACUUGUCAGAAUAAUCUGAAUGCUAAAGAGUUAACACUAGAGUAGCUAUAGAACACAGAUAAACCUAUAUUUAAUAGACAUAUAAUCUAUAAAUUACACUCUAUAUAUAGUCAUUUGAUCAUUAUAUAUGAUCUAAAGAUUAUAUUUAACAUUAUAGUCCAGAGAUGAUACCAUUGGAAAUACCACAGAUAAUAAUAUACUUGAUAGGAAUGAAACGUAAUACUAUAAUAUAUUGAUAAAACUAUUGUUGAUGGUGUGUGUGUGUGUGUGUGUGUGUGUGUAUAAAACAAUAAGUCAUACAGUUAAUAAUGUGGUAGGUGUAGAUUAUAUUGUAGUUACUACUAUAGCAUAGUUAAAUGGUGCAGUUAAUAAGCAAUAAUAUAUCAUAGUGGACAGCAUUACAGCUAUACAGGACAUUACAACUACACAGGACAUUAUAACUGUUCUGGACAUAGUUGUCAGUCUCGUUACUGAAAUACAUCAGAUGAUGUACCUUUACCGUUACUAGCAAGAGCAGUAGUAGCAACAACAACAGCACCAGCGGUGCCAGCAGUAGCACUACCACACCAUCAUCACCACCAUCAGUAAGUAGGACCAUCACUAGCACCAUCAUUACCAUUACCAGUAAAAGCACCAAUAGUAAUAACAACACUAUCAGCACCACCACUACUGCCACUACCCCCACCAUCACUACGACUAUCGUUAGUAAAACCACUAGUCAAUAGUGCCACUCACUAUCACUAGCACUACUACCAACAACACUACCACUAUCACCACCACAACCACCACCACUCUCACUGCCACUACACCAGCAACAGCAGCAUCAACAACAGUAGGGAUCGACAACAGAACGGUGAGCAACUGUAGCUGAUGUUAAUGGUGGUGUAGCUGGUGAUGUUCAACCCUGAUUGAACAGAUCUAUGAUCAAAAACAUUCCAGUAUUGACCAUCCCAUCUUUCUGAGUAACAGGGAUUACAUUUCUGCAAUGUGUCCUUUUUUUGUUUGAAGAUGGCAGUGUUUAAUUCAAAUGAAUUUACCUGUUAUUUCUAGAAAGUUGAAAGACUGCAUUGAAGCUCAUUGGCCCGGGUGUUCUU